Molecule: ribosomal RNA, 436 nt
Filed under: uncultured bacterium
Lineage: Bacteria
Description: bacterial SSU rRNA
Rfam family: Bacterial small subunit ribosomal RNA
Source: RNAcentral
CAGGCCUAACACAUGCAAGUCGAACGAAGGCUUCGGCCUUAGUGGCGCACGGGUGCGUAACGCGUGGGAAUCUGCCCUUUGGUACGGAAUAACUCAGGGAAACUUGAGCUAAUACCGUAUGAUGUCGAGAGACCAAAGAUUUAUCGCCAGGGGAUGAGCCCGCGUCCGAUUAGCUUGUUGGUGGGGUAAUGGCCUACCAAGGCGACGAUCGGUAGCUGGUCUGAGAGGAUGAUCAGCCACACUGGGACUGAGACACGGCCCAGACUCCUACGGGAGGCAGCAGUGGGGAAUAUUGGACAAUGGGCGAAAGCCUGAUCCAGCAAUGCCGCGUGAGUGAUGAAGGCCUGAGGGUUGUAAAGCUCUUUUACNCCGGGAUGAUAAUGACAGUANCCGGGAGAAUAAGCUCCGGCUAACUCCGUGCCAGCAGCCGCGUGAA